CUCGUAGGCGGUUCGUCGCGUCCGGUGUGAAAGUCCAUUGCUUAACGGUGGAUCUGCGCCGGGUACGGGCGGGCUGGAGUGCGGUAGGGGAGACUGAAAUUCCCGGUGUAACGGUGGAAUGUGUAGAUAUCGGGAAGAACACCAAUGGCGAAGGCAGGUCUCUGGGCCGUUACUGACGCUGAGGAGCGAAAGCGUGGGGAGCGGACA
Molecule: ribosomal RNA, 207 nt
Filed under: uncultured bacterium
Lineage: Bacteria
Description: partial 16S ribosomal RNA
Rfam family: Bacterial small subunit ribosomal RNA
Source: RNAcentral